UACGGAGGGAGCUAGCGUUGUUCGGAAUUACUGGGCGUAAAGCGCGCGUAGGCGGCUUUGUAAGUUAGAGGUGAAAGCCCGGAGCUCAACUCCGGAACUGCCUUUAAAACUGCAUCGCUUGAAUCCAGGAGAGGUGAGUGGAAUUCCGAGUGUAGAGGUGAAAUUCGUAGAUAUCCGGAGGAACACCGGUGGCGAAGGCGGCUUCCUGGACCGACACUGACGCUGAGGCGCGAAAGCUAGGGGAGCAAACGGG
RNAcentral lists this ribosomal RNA (253 nucleotides) under uncultured bacterium. Its description in RNAcentral is "partial 16S ribosomal RNA". It matches the Rfam family "Bacterial small subunit ribosomal RNA", at positions 524 to 776 of the family's 1533-position model. The record is from RNAcentral.